GAUAUCCAUAGAUGGUCAACGGAUCGAGGGUAGGGUUGCUAAUAAUGCGGACUGUUUCCGUUGUACUGUCGUAUAGUCCACCCCAGUACAUGGCUUUGCCGACGAGCAAUAAGGCUCCUAUACCCAAGAAUAAGAGGUGAUGCCCUAAGAUGAUGCCCAAUUGCUUGGGGUUCUCCCA
Molecule: antisense RNA, 178 nt
Filed under: Roseofilum reptotaenium AO1-A
Lineage: Bacteria; Bacillati; Cyanobacteriota; Cyanophyceae; Desertifilales; Desertifilaceae
Description: Antisense RNA which regulates isiA expression
Rfam family: Antisense RNA which regulates isiA expression
Source: Rfam by way of RNAcentral